This 87-nucleotide transfer RNA is filed under the name Oxalobacter vibrioformis. RNAcentral's name for it is "tRNA-Leu". It matches the Rfam family "tRNA". Rfam says of the family: Transfer RNA (tRNA) molecules are approximately 80 nucleotides in length. Their secondary structure includes four short double-helical elements and three loops (D, anti-codon, and T loops). RNAcentral also lists the same sequence under 1 other name. Lineage: Bacteria; Pseudomonadati; Pseudomonadota; Betaproteobacteria; Burkholderiales; Oxalobacteraceae. The record is from RNAcentral.
GCCGGAGUGGCGAAAUUGGUAGACGCACGAGACUCAAAAUCUCGCGGGGGUGACCCCGUGCCGGUUCGAUUCCGGCCUCCGGUACCA